Molecule: ribosomal RNA, 813 nt
Filed under: uncultured bacterium
Lineage: Bacteria
Description: bacterial SSU rRNA
Rfam family: Bacterial small subunit ribosomal RNA
Source: RNAcentral
AGAGUUUGAUCAUGGCUCAGGACGAACGCUGGCGGCGUGCCUAAUACAUGCAAGUCGAACGAACCGCGACUGAGUGCUUGCACUUGGUCAAGGUGAGUGGCGAACGGGUGAGUAACACGUGGGUAACCUACCUCAUAGUGGGGGAUAACAGUCGGAAACGACUGCUAAUACCGCAUAGGACAUGGAAUCACAUGAUUCUGUGAGGAAAGGUGGCGCAAGCUAUCGCUAAGAGAUGGACCCGCGGUGCAUUAGCUAGUUGGUAGGGUAAAGGCCUACCAAGGCGAUGAUGCAUAGCCGACCUGAGAGGGUGAUCGGCCACAUUGGGACUGAGACACGGCCCAAACUCCUACGGGAGGCAGCAGUAGGGAAUCUUCCGCAAUGGACGCAAGUCUGACGGAGCAACGCCGCGUGAGUGAAGAAGGUCUUCGGAUCGUAAAGCUCUGUUGUUAGAGAAGAACAGCGCAUAGAGUAACUGUUAUGCGUGUGACGGUAUCUAACCAGAAAGCCACGGCUAACUACGUGCCAGCAGCCGCGGUAAUACGUAGGUGGUGAGCGUUGUCCGGAUUUAUUGGGCGUAAAGGGAGUGUAGGCGGUCUUUUAAGUCUGAUGUGAAAGCCCACGGCUCAACCGUGGAGGGUCAUUGGAAACUGGGAGACUUGAGUGCAGAAGAGGAGAGCGGAAUUCCAUGUGUAGCGGUGAAAUGCGUAGAUAUAUGGAGGAACACCAGUGGCGAAGGCGGCUCUCUGGUCUGUAACUGACGCUGAGGCUCGAAAGCGUGGGGAGCAAACAGGAUUAGAUACCCCGGUAGUCCAA